AGAGUUUGAUCCUGGCUCAGAUUGAACGCUGGCGGCAUGCCUUACACAUGCAAGUCGAACGGCAGCACGGGAGCAAUCCUGGUGGCGAGUGGCGAACGGGUGAGUAAUAUAUCGGAACGUGCCCAGUCGUGGGGGAUAACGCAGCGAAAGCUGUGCUAAUACCGCAUACGAUCUCUGGAUGAAAGCGGGGGACUCGCAAGAGCCUCGCGCGAUUGGAGCGGCCGAUAUCAGAUUAGCUAGUUGGUGGGGUAAAAGCUCACCAAGGCGACGAUCUGUAGCUGGUCUGAGAGGACGACCAGCCACACUGGAACUGAGACACGGUCCAGACUCCUACGGGAGGCAGCAGUGGGGAAUUUUGGACAAUGGGCGCAAGCCUGAUCCAGCAAUGCCGCGUGCAGGAUGAAGGCCUUCGGGUUGUAAACUGCUUUUGUACGGAACGAAACGGC
RNAcentral lists this ribosomal RNA (446 nucleotides) under uncultured bacterium. Its description in RNAcentral is "bacterial SSU rRNA". It matches the Rfam family "Bacterial small subunit ribosomal RNA", at positions 8 to 454 of the family's 1533-position model. The record is from RNAcentral.